This is a non-coding RNA of Chrysemys picta bellii (western painted turtle), 558 nucleotides long. NCBI's taxonomy places the organism in Eukaryota, Metazoa, Chordata, Testudines, Emydidae. The record is from the annotation of a RefSeq genome assembly.
AUGAGCUGGAUCAGGCAGACUCCUGGGAAAGGACUGGUUUGGCUUGGAAGAAUUGACCCUGAAGAUGGUGCUACUAGCUAUGCCGACUCUGUGAAAGACAGCGUCACCAUCUCGACUGAUAACUCCAUCAGCACCGUGUAUCUGCAACUCCGCAGCCUGAGAACGGAAGACACGGCUGUGUAUUACUGUGCAAGAGACACGGGAGAAUUUACCCUGCAGCUCAGCGAGCAAUGCCAGUGUGCCCAGUCCCAGAUGCAGCUGGUGGAGUCCGGGGGGGCUGUUAGAAAUGAAGGGGAGUCCAUCCGGCUCUCCUGUAAAGGCUCCGGCUUCACCUUCAGCAACUACGAUAUGUUCUGGUACCGACAGAGCCCCGGAAAAAGCCCGGAGUUUGUGUCACGCAUUUACUACGACGGGACUGGCAUACGUUACGCGGCUUGGGUUGAAGGGCGAUUCACCAUCUCCAGAGACAACGCCAAGAGCGAGCUGUACCUGGCAAUGAGCCGCCUGAGACGGGAGGACACGGCCCGGUAUCACUGCGCUGCUCCAGACACACAGUGA